Molecule: long non-coding RNA, 964 nt
Organism: Mus pahari (shrew mouse)
Lineage: Eukaryota; Metazoa; Chordata; Mammalia; Rodentia; Muridae
Exons: 3
Source: RefSeq, a predicted model, not a curated record
GUGAGUUUCGAAUACAGCAUCCUUUCUCUAUUGUGAUCUUACUGGACGUCAGGUUCCCAGAACUUGGAACUGAGUUUGUUCCUUCUGACAAACAUCUCCCCAUUUCCCUGUCCCUUGCUUGUUUGUAACAAAGUCUCACGCCAGAGACUUGUGGGACCCUGCAUCUGUUCCUAUUCUGGAGAACAGAAAUGGGUGGGGUUCGGGGACAGGAACACUUAAGGGACAAGGAAAAGACAAAGACCUGCUUGUCUUCCUCAGUGCCUGAGGUCACGUGGUGAACUGUAGGCUCCCAGAGGACUCAGUUUACAAACUGGGAAAGGAUGCUGCUGCCUGGCUAGUCCCAAAUUUAUAGUGCCUCAGACAGUGACACCAUGUGCUGUGUUCUUUAGAAGGAGCCUGUGGAUUCAUUUAAAGAAGCUGCUCCAUCCUGUGCUUCAUGAUUCGUUCCACGAUACGUUCUCCCUGGACCAUCUCUUCAAUCAGCUAUGUUAAGCCUUCCAGAUGCUUCCAGUGCCCAAGCUACAGCACUGCAGUCCCUGCAGGAGUCCUACCUCGCAAAGCAGCAAAGGGUUUCCCUCUUUUACAAAUCCAGAAACACAUUCGUUAAUCUUCCCUAAGAGCCUCAGUGUCGAAAAGUUUUACUCCAAAUUGCAACGGCCUAUUAUCUUCAAAAAAAAAAAAAAUUCAAGUAAUAAAUGUAGUAUCAAAAAUAGAGAAUACAAGUGAGCACAAAGCUCGCAGUCUCCGUUUCAGAACAAAUACCACAAGCAUUUAGUGUACGCGCUUACAGAGUAUACACUCGUGUAUAUGAUACAAAACCCAGAAUCUUUAUGUCAUAGCAUCUUGAAAUCUACCAUCUGGAUAUCUUCUGUGUAACAAGACUUCCUUUCCUAGUGGCUACACGAUGCUGAACUGUAUAGAAGCAUCUCAUUUCUACAGGAGACACCAUAAUUUUAUAUUUGUA